This 219-nucleotide small nuclear RNA is filed under the name Anas zonorhyncha (Eastern spot-billed duck). RNAcentral describes it as "U2 spliceosomal RNA (ENSAZOG00000005002.1, ENSAZOG00000005004.1, ENSAZOG00000019152.1)". The stretch from base 1 to 162 matches the Rfam family "U2 spliceosomal RNA". Rfam says of the family: U2 is a small nuclear RNA (snRNA) component of the spliceosome (involved in pre-mRNA splicing). Complementary binding between U2 snRNA (in an area lying towards the 5' end but 3' to hairpin I) and the branchpoint sequence (BPS) of the intron results the bulging out of an unpaired adenosine, on the BPS, which initiates a nucleophilic attack at the intronic 5' splice site, thus starting the first of two transesterification reactions that mediate splicing. Lineage: Eukaryota; Metazoa; Chordata; Aves; Anseriformes; Anatidae. The record is from RNAcentral.
ACAUCUUCUCGGCCUUUUGGCUAAGAUCAAGUGUAGUAUCUGUUCCUAUCAAUUUAAUAUCUGAUAUGUCGUCGAUGAGAGGACUUUAUAUUAAACAGAUUUUUGGGCUCAGGUUUGAAUAUAUAUAUAUAUUUUUGAGCCACUUGCCAAGGCGAUCAGCUCCAGGGGAGACGUGUUCUGCAGCGGAGAGGGGGAUCGGACAGGCAGGGCAAAUUUUUC